Molecule: ribosomal RNA, 118 nt
Filed under: Danio rerio (zebrafish)
Lineage: Eukaryota; Metazoa; Chordata; Actinopteri; Cypriniformes; Danionidae
Source: RNAcentral
UGCCAAAGCCAUAUCACCCUGCAGCCCAAGAUUGGUUACUCACGGAAGCUAAGCAGGGCUGAGUCUAGUCAGCACCUCGAUGGGAGACCCCAUUGGGAAAACUAAGUAGCUUUUAGAU